This 73-nucleotide unclassified non-coding RNA is filed under the name Algibacter luteus. RNAcentral describes it as "Arenitalea lutea Flavo-1 RNA". The record is from RNAcentral. Lineage: Bacteria; Pseudomonadati; Bacteroidota; Flavobacteriia; Flavobacteriales; Flavobacteriaceae.
AAAGGAUUGUAGAGGCUAGCUUUUGGCGAGGCGCCUAUCGAGCCAAAACUAUUAACGGAAAGCCCGACCCCAU